This 8019-nucleotide long non-coding RNA is filed under the name Xyrichtys novacula (pearly razorfish). The record is from RNAcentral. Lineage: Eukaryota; Metazoa; Chordata; Actinopteri; Labriformes; Labridae.
GUGAAGUUAUCAUUCGAAACCAUGGUAGGUGAAGGGAUCCAUCACUGGGCUGCAAGUUUCCUGAGAAAGGCAGGCCAUCUUAUUGUUGUCACAGCUUUCCUCUGUGCCUGAAACAAAGUAGACUCCGUCUGCAGAGUGGAUGGACGGAUCCUCAUCAAAGUAGUUGUGUGGACGCAGCAGAACCCCGCCCCCGUUGCCGACUGUUACUGUGUUGGGGAUGUCCUCAGCAUGGGGGAUGUGGAGGAAACCAGUGGUCACCCAGGCAACCAGGUCCUAAAAAGAAACAAGGAAAAGUUAAAGGUGUGUGUUUUGUUAUAAUUUAGGGAGAUUAAAUAAUGUGAACACAAACCUCAUUUUCAAUGCUCUCAUUAUCGUCUAUGUACUUGCUGAAAUCAACAACUGGAUCCCAGAUCUCAUGCUGAUUGUACAGACUGCUGCUGCUCUGUUCCAGGUCCUUGUGCUUAGUUAUGGCAACUUUAUACCUGCCAGAAGAUAAACUUAUAUCAGACUUCAGUUGUCUUUGCGCUGCGGAAAAACUAUAAAUCGAAAAGGAGCAGGAUUCUGGAUCAGGAAACAUUUGAACCUGUUUCUUACCUGGCCCAGGACAUGGCCUUCUCCUCUGCCUGGCUCUGUGGAAGGUGGUCUGCAGUGUUGCUGGACACUUGUAGCCUGUAGGAGCGCUGAUGCCCCCAACGGUUGGUCUUCUUGCUUGCAAUAUGAAGGUAUCGUGGGGUCUUGGUGUCAUGAGGCAGUGCUGCUUCCUGUUUUGAGUCAUACACAAUAGUUAUAUCCUCUUUGACGUCAGUAGAGGCCGUUAUUGAUUUUUUAGAUUUCUGGCCAACAACAGGCCAAAGAAAUUUCACAUCUAUUUGAAAACCUGAACAUAUUUUCAUGACAUGAAUGUCUCGCUCCAUCAGUGUGUCAUCUAUCAUGUCUGCAGGAUCUGAUGCUUUGCUCUCAGACACAUCCAUUAUAGAAAUAAUUCUUCACCUGCUCUGUUUGAAGCUGUUUCUCCACCAGCUGAGGGAUCAUGGCGUAGCGUUCAGGCAUCCAGGGCAGCGAGUCCUUUACAAACUCCAUGUCUUUGGUCUGGAAAAAGUUCUUCACUCCUGGGACAUCAAACAUUUCAUUUUAGGUUAAGCAAUUAUGUCUAAUAUUACUUCUAUUUGUACUUUAUCUUUUUGUUAAAGUUUUAAUAAUGUUUAUUAUAUUUACUUUUUUUUCACAACACAUAUUUAAAUACCAUUGUUAUCUUCUCCAGGUCCUUACCUAAAACAUCAAGAUCCACCUUGAAGUUGAGGAAGUGAGUGUGGAUGUUUCCAGUGACGUUUUCCGCUACUUGAUGACCAAAUUUAAAGUUAUCAUUAACUUUGAAGGAUGAUGCAAUGUAGCCUGUGGCGUGCACUUUAGCCUCCACUGAGCCACUUUGGUAGAAAAUGAAAUCCCAAACAUAAUCGUAGUUCUCAAUAACUGUGAUUGUCCUGAACACCAAGGCGUUAUUGGCCAGUCCUCCAUAACUUUUGUAGACUAUCUUAGAGAAGUGCCUCCGCAGUGGUUGGCCAAAGUUGUGUUCAAAAACACAAAUUGAGUUUCUGAUCCGGCGUGGAACUCCAGAGUCCAUAAAAUGCAUUGUGUCUAUGUAGGUGGCUGAAUAGGGGCAGUCUACCCCUUUGACCAGCUCGUAGGCAUACGCACCCAUGCUCAGACUGCCAUCAAGAAACUUGGUGAACAUUAAAACUGGGGUAGAAGAUCCAUAGACUGACAUGGCCUCCUGAACACUCAGCUCAUAGAUGAUCCUUUCACCUCUAAAUUGUACAUCAAACACUCUCACGCCUCUAAGGGUGCUCAUACCAAAGGCAAAACUCCAGUCCAAGUACACGAUGUUGUUGUCCUUUAUACUGAACCUUUUGCCUUGAACAUAAAACUGCUGGGGUCCAACACCUGUGGGUUUCUUCCUGGGUUUGAGCGAAGCAUAAUUUUUCACAGGUUUGUAGACGAUUUUCUUUACAGUCCCUGCCUCAUAUUGCUGCUUCAGUUCUGAUAUGCUGUCAAAAUACUGAUCAUUAUAGAACACUUUAAUCACACGCCAGUUUAAGGAAUUGGUGCUUUGGUGGUCUAUUAAAAUUUCAAAGCUCAGUGGAUGGAUGUAAAAGCCCUCCUCUUUUCUGCCGGGCGCAAUCCAUGACUGUCUGUCCCCUGAUUUGACCCCUCUUGGCAUGUUAUCAUAGUAAAUGUGGGAUGAUGACGGUGCUAAACCAAAGCUUUCGUUCAUGAGCGUACUUACUGGCUCAGUUUCAUUUUUCAGGAACGUUUCCAUAAGAGUAUAUUCCUUAAAUAUAACUGGACGUGCAGUCAGAGGGAUCUCUCUCUUGUACCUCUCAGCAGUGACAUCUCGGUGGUAGGUUGGGUUGGGAAGAGGACCAACUACAUAUUCCUUGAUGUUGUUUUGACUGCCGUGAAAAACCACAGCAGUUGCCUCUCUUGCUGGUUUCUGCCCGUUUGCAUCAAGGUAGUGCAAAACCUCCUGUUUCUUCGGCAUGGAGAGUUCAAUCAUAAACAGAUAGUCAGCUGAAGGAAGAGAAUAUUCAUCUGAUGCGAUGUUCAUCCCGAUGAUCUUAAACAUGAAGUCACGCACCUGCAGAAUCUCCUCUUCAGAGAGGUCGGCAAAGACGACGCUGCGCUCAUUGUGGAUCACAGGUCGGUCAGAGUUUACCUGAUGAGCAGGACACGGCGGAGUGCACUGAUUGUUACGCCCCAUCAAAACAAAGUUAAUUAUCAGCGAAAUAACAAAUGCAAAAAUCAGGAGGCAGUUACAAAGUGUGCAAUUAGUUUCACAGGCCAUUUCUUCGUAGAUGGCAACAGGUGUCGUGGAGAGAAAACGAAAGCUGUGUUGACAGACAGGUGAUGGGUGAGGCUGCUGGUUUUACAGGUUACGUUGAAAAGGGGGGGGCGUUAAACAGUAAGAGAAGAUAUGUGACUUCCUUCUGUACCUCUAAAAACAGAACAACUAAAGUGGUGAAAUUAAUCACUUAAUGGCAGAGUUGUGUGAACAGGAAAGCCUAAAUGAUAACAGUAGUAGUAAACAUUACUCAAAGAUAAAAUUUUGAUGUCUUAAAUGCUCUGACAAAAACAUAACUAAAAAACACUUAAAGCAAUGUAGGUAUGUUUUGCUGUGUAAGUUUUUGACUAGUCUAUGCAUGAAACCUGCACAUGAUAGUUUGUACAUUUUGAACAAUACUGCCCCACAAAGGCGAAAUGCAGUAGCAGCACCUUUGGUUAAAAUGAGGUUCAGACUUCUGUUUAAUCAUCUGACAAACUUUCCUGGUUCUAUUAUGUUCGGUUUCAGAAAAAAAUGGGUGUCAGUUCAAGCCCAGAAAGGAGGAAACACUGACAACUCAUGGAGAGCAGAAACAUGAGACAGAGAUGUGGCACAUGAGGAUGAUCUAGGAUAGGAAGCACAGGCGGACUGGGAGUCAAUGGACCUGAGCAAGAGACAGCUGUGAGUAUCAAAAUUAAACAGGUUGCACAAGACAUGAAACAUAUAAACAACUGGAGACAACAGACAGAACGUGUGUUAGCAAUAGGCAAGCUGUGCUCUAUCCACCAAUCAUAGAUUAAAUGGAGCCCUGCUACAUAAUACAUCUACAUUCACCCUCUGAUAUAUGAUUCAUGAUUUCUUUAGAUUCAUAUACAGACCCUCAAGGAAAACAUAAAUCAACUAAAUGUAACUUAAUGUAGAAAAUAGGGAAUAUGUGUUCAGAUUUUGUGCCAUCAACAAUUUGCAUUACAAGGAAUAAUUAUUCUACUCUAAUUUUCAGUGAAUACAUAAAGGUGGAAACCAGGAGAAAUAUCUUAAAAAGAUAAAUAAUAAAUAAAUAAAACUAGCAUAAAACUAAGAAAAUCUUGAUCGACAUGAUGGCUAAACAAACACUGACUAUAAUGACACUAAAAACUAAGUCUAACUGCCUUAAUCUUGACCAACACAACACGAAACUCUCAGACUUCAGAUUUCUCAAAAUGACUAAGCUAAAUUAUAAGAGUAACGUUGCUUUAUCCAUUGUAUCUAAUAUGCAGGCUGUAUGAAAUAUUUCGCCGCUGUUUCAAGUGUCACAGAGAAACAAGUUAGAGAGUUUUUUUCUUUUCUAUUUGUAGUUUUAUUCAAGCUUUUGAUGCAGCCAAACAAAAUCAAAUCACAGACAUAAAAUGAGACCAUGGCAGCGUUAUCUGGCAUCCUGCUUAUGAGUCUGUGAAGUUUUCAUUUGAAACCAUGGUAGGUGAAGGGAUCCAUCACUGGGCUGCAAGUUUCCUGAGAAAGGCAGGCCAUCUUAUUGUUAUCACAGCUUUCCUCUGUGCCAGGAGCAAAGUAGACUCCGUCUGCAGAGUGGAUGGAUGGAUCCUCGUUAAAGUAGUUGUGUGGACGCAGCAGAACCCCGCCCCCGUUGCCGACUGUUACUGUGUUGGGGAUGUCCUCAGCAUGGGGGAUGUGGAGGAAACCAGUGGUCACCCAGGCAACCAGGUCCUAAAAAGAAAUGAGGAAGGAAUGGGAGGUACGUGUUAACCCUUUGAUCAAUUUCUAUUAUUUCUAGAAGUUCACGAUGUCAACACACACACCUCAUUUUCAAUGCUUUCAUUAUCUUCAAUGAACUUGCUGAAGUCAACAGCUGGAUUCCAGAUGUCAUGCUGAUUGUACAGACUGCCAACACUCUGCUCCAUGUCCUUGUGUUUAGUAAUGGCAACCCUAUACCUAAAGGAAGAAGAGUUACUUCAGACUCCAGGAAGAGGGAAGAAAUGGGCGAUAAGGGGAUGACUCAAAAUCAGUGGUGUGGAGAAACAGGAUGAAGAUUGGUUAUAAAGACUUUUGUCGAUGCUGUUUCUUACCUGGCCCAGGACAUGGCCUUCUCCUCUGCCUGGCUCUGUGGGAGGUGAUCUCCAGUGAAGCUGAACACCUGCAACCUGUAGGAGCGCUGAUGACCCCAGCGGUUGGUUUGGUUGCUUGCAAUGUGAAGGUAUCGAGGAAUCUUGGCUUCAGGACUGAGUGCGGCUUCCUGUGAGGGUCAAAAUGAUCCCUAUCUCAAAGGUACUUCUAGCCAGGGGUUAGGUCCAGUAUCACAUUAUGACAUUAUAAGUUCAUAUACUGAACAAUACAGCAUGGAUUUUGUGUCUGAUAGAAAUGUUUAAUUAUCAGACACAUAAAAGGGCAAGCAAGUGUAAAGACAAGGGCUGCCACCUCAUAGUCAUCGACUAUUUAGGCUAUUUAUGCAUCUAUGUUUAAGGCUUUGUGUUGUACAACUUGUUUUUGAUUAUUGUACAUGUUGCAUAGUCCCUAUGAAUGCUGCCCAUCUCUCCCAAUAGACAACUUUUUGGGUAAGGUGGCACGUCCGUCCUAUAAGGUCACAAAAUGUUACCAAAAUGACAAAUAAGUUGCAAAUAAAUUCUGGCACAAGAGUGGAAACAGUUGUCUCUACCUCUGCUGGUAAACAUACAGGUAUUUAUGAGAUGUUAGUAACAGUGUUUGGUGUUUAAAGUAGUACUGCACCUGCUCUGUUUGAAGCUGUUUCUCCACCAGCUGAGGGAUCAUGGCGUAGCGUUCAGGCAUCCAGGGCAGCGAGACAUUUACAAACUCCAUGUCUUUGGUCUGGAAAACGUUCUUCACUCCUGUGGUAAGGACAUACUACAUAUGACUCUAUCUAGACCUGCAUAUUUCCAAGUGUCCAUGACUUUUCAGCUUUUUAAGGUUUUAUGUUGAUAAAUGUUUGAUAUUGAGUACAAUUGUAAAAAAAUCAAGGUGAAGAAUGGUAUGUGUACAAUUUUGAUAUUUUCCACGGUUUUCAGUUUCACUUACCUGAAACAUCAAGAUCCACCUUAAAGUUGAGGAAGUGAGUGUGGAUGUUUCCAGUGACAUUCUCCGCUACUUGAUGACCAAAUUUAAAGUUAUCAUUAACUUUGAAGGAUGAUGCAAUGUAGCCUGAGGCGUGCACUUUAGCCUCCACUGAGCCACUCUGGUAGAAAAUGAAAUCCCAAACAUAAUCGUAGUUCUCAAUAACUGUGAUUGUCCUGAACACCAAGGCGUUAUUGGCCAGUCCUCCAUAACUGUUGUAGACUAUCUCAGAGAAGUGCCUCCGCAGUGGUUGGCCAAAGUCGUGUUCAAAAACACAAACUGAGUUUCUGAUCCGGCGUGGAACUCCAGAGUCCACAAAAUGGACUGUGUCUAUGUAGGUGGCUGAAUAGGGGCAGUCUACCCCUUUGACCAGCUCGUAGGCACAUGCACCCAUCCUCAGACUGCCAUCAAGGAACUUGGUGAGCAUUAAAUCUGGGGUAGAAGAUCCAUAGACUGACAUGGCCUCCUGAACACUCAGCUCAUAGAUGAUCCUUUCACCUCUAAAUUGUACAUCAAACACUCUCAUGCCUCUAAGGGUGCUCAUACCAAAGGCAAAACUCCAGUCCAAGUAUACGAUGUUGUUGUCCUUUAUACUGAACCUUUUGCCUUGAACAUAAAACUGCUGGGGUCCAACGCCUAUGGGUUUCUUCCUGGGUUUGAGAGAGGCAUAGUUUGGCACAGGUUUGUAGACGAUCUUGUUUACAGUCCCUGCCUCAUAUUGCUGCUUUAGUUCUGCUAAACUGUCAAAGUACUGAUCAUUAUAGAGCACUUUAAUCACACGCCAGGAUGAGAAAUUGGUGCUUUGGUGGUCUAUUAAAAUUUGGAAGCCGACUGGAUGGAUGUAAAAUCCCUCCUCAUCACGACAGUAUGAAACCCAUGACUGUCUGUCUCCUGACUUGACCCCUCUGGGCAUGCCGUCAUAGUAAGCAAUAUUUGAUGGAAUCAUGCCAAAGCUUUCUUUUAAGAGCGCACUUACUGGUUUAAGCAUGUCUCUCAGAAGCAUAUCUAUGAGCAUGUAUUCCCCUCCAGAAACUGGACGCGCAGUCAGAGGGAUCUCUCUCUUGUACCUCUCAACAGUGACAUCUCGGUGGUAGGUUGGGUUGGGAAGAGGACCAACUACAUAUUCCUUGAUGUUGUUUUGACCACCGUGAAACACCACAGCAGUUGCCUCUCUUGCUGGUUUCUGACCAUUUGCAUCAAGGUAGUGCAAAACCUCCUGUUUCUUCGGCAUGGAGAGUUCAAUCAUGUACAGGUAGUCAGCUGAAGGAGGAGAAGAUGGAUCAAAUGAGAUGUUCAUCCCGUUGAUCUUAGACAUGUAGUCACGCACCUGCAGAAUUUCCUCCUGUGUGAGAUCAGCAAAGACGACGCUGCGCUCAUUGUGGAUCACAGGUCGGUCAGAGUUUACCUGAUGAGCGGGGCACGGUGGAGUGCGCUGAGUGUUAAGCCAUAUCAAAACAGAGGUACUUACAACCAAAGCAAUGACUGCAGGAAUCAGAAGACAUUUGAGGACGUUGACAAAAGUUUUACAGGCCAUUUUGCUACAAAUGAACAGCAGUCAUAGUUGAUAAAAAGAAAUGUGAAGGUAGGGGGAAAGUUACUCAUUUUAAAGACUCCUUUUACAACCUGGGGGUGUCACUUUUGAUAAGAGUUACAGUAACUGUAUAGUAUCUCAUAAAAAAAUCCUGGCAUGAAUAUUGAGUAACUUAUAAAGAACUGUUUCAUGUUUUAUUACAUUAAAUUCUUAUGAGGCCAUGAAUUUGGAUUGUACUUUUGCAAUUUGGUCUUUUUUUUAUUUAGAAACAUAGUCAUUAAUACCCAGAGUUUAUUCCUGAUAUGUUACCUAACACCUCAUCCACUGUUCUAAAUACAAUACAUUAAUGUUUGCAAUGUUUUACACAAUUUCCACAACUUUAUUAGAGAUUGUUCAUGUUACAAACACUUAGAUCAGCCGACUUUUCUUUUUUAUUUCAUUUUAAUCCUCAAGUCGAAGCUGACACUGAAAUUCAAAUUGCUCUCUAAGUCUGCCAUAUGGACCAGUUAACAUGUGAAAAGUUAAAAUUUGCUAUAAGGUCAAUUAUUCUGGUGGAAUCAGACAACUUCAGUGGCAGACUCAGGGUGUCCGAGGGUCAAAGGUGGGGAUG